Molecule: long non-coding RNA, 1136 nt
Organism: Homo sapiens (human)
Lineage: Eukaryota; Metazoa; Chordata; Mammalia; Primates; Hominidae
Product: long intergenic non-protein coding RNA 1091
Source: Ensembl
GGGACUUGAAGGAGGUUUGACAUGAGAACCUGCAUUUAAAACCACAGAUUGGGCUCUGCUUGCUGGACCCCAGUGGUUGGACUGAGUCCCAUGAAGCCAGAUCACUUCUGACUGCAAGGAGCUUGGAAAAGCAAGUAUCUGGAUCUUUUACCAGCUAAAUUUGGAGCGAUGAGGCUUCCUCUUUGAAGAUCACAGGUGAGAAGAUUAGGUGCUUUCUCAGAAGCCCAGCAACCUGAUGGGAGUGUGGAGUGAGCAAGACCCAAAUCGGAGCUUCAUCCCUGCAUGGUUCAUUUUGCUUAUUUGGCAAACUUGCCCUGCAGGUGAAAACAUUGGAAUCUUGUGAACCUCAACCUGUGUUUUACAUAUGUAUACAUGAAGCAUCCAAUGGCAUUACACCUCAGCCAGAGAAGAAGCUCUUAAGAGAUCAGGUGCCUCAUUUCACCCAUGGGCUGCUCCAGCAUUUCCAGCCUCCUCACUCCUGACACAUACAGAUUGAGAAAUUAAGGUCGCAUCAUAUAAGUGAAGUUGAACACUACUUUUCUAAUACCCUACAUCAGGUACGUUCCUAAAUAAACUGGAACUUACCUCAGAAGCCUCAGAAAAUUAGGAAAAUAAAAUGCAUUACUUUGUAUAUUAAGAAGCUCAAAAUCCCAUAUUUGAUUCACUAUAGAAUUACUUCAGAAUCUCAUAUGUUGUUUAAGCAAAACCUGUCUCAUAUUAAAACAUACCUACUGCUGUGUUGUCUAUUUGCUUUUCUCUUUUUAAAUGCCCUUUUGAGAAAUGCUGCAAAAAUUUUGUCCUGACAUGUGGGGGCCCAACUGUUUCCUGCUAUACUCAGCUUGGAGGACAUAGCCUCUAGGUUAUACUCUUUUGAAAUUGUCCUGUUGAAAUGCAUGUUUUGAUUUUGGGAUUUUCCAGAUGCUUCCUAAGUAGGUCCCAUGUGUUAAAACUUGUGGAAAUUCAGCAUGUUUCUCAAUGUGAGGCAUCUAAGUAGUUCACAAAUUUAAGGCAAUUAGUCUAUUACUGGGAUAAGACGAUUAAUUCUAUUAUAUUCCAUUGUUUACAUAUUACUUGUUUAAUCCAUUUCCUAUUCUAUGCUUUGUUUUUUCAUUUGUCUGAAUUAUUAAAAGUCACUA